CAGUUAAAAAGCUCGUAGUCGGAUUUCAGUAUUAGGCCCUUCUUCCAAUACGGUUGCUAGUGGUCUUUACUUCCUUAACAGAAUCUUUCAUCUCAUUAAUUUGGGGUGUUUGGGGCCUGUUUCUUUUACUUUGAGAAAAUUAGAGUGUUCAAAGCGGGUUUUCGCCUGGAUAUUACUCUUGGAAUAAUAAUAUAGGACUUUGGUUCUUUUUUGUUGGUGACUUAGAACCGAAGUAAUGAUUGAUAGGGACAGUUGGGGUCAUUCGUACUAUGAAGCGAGAGGUGAAAUUCAUGGACCUUUGUAUGACGAACUACUGCGAAAGCAUUUGACUAGGAUGUUCCCGUUGAUCAAGAACGAAAGUUGGGGGAUCGAAGACGAUCAGAUACCGUCGUAGUCUCAACCAUAAACUAUGCCAGCUAGGGAUUGGAGGUAGAUCAUUUUACGUCUCCUUCAGCACCUUAUGAGAAAUCAAAGCAUUUGGGUUCCGGGGGGAGUAUGGUCGCAAGGCUGAAACUUAAAGGAAUUGACGGGAGGGCACCACCAGGAGUGGAGCCUGCGGCUUAAUUUGAUUCAACACGGGAAAACUUACCAGGUCCGGACAUGGGAAGGAUUGACAGAUUGAAAGCU
This 627-nucleotide ribosomal RNA is filed under the name uncultured marine eukaryote. Its description in RNAcentral is "SSU rRNA". It matches the Rfam family "Eukaryotic small subunit ribosomal RNA", at positions 616 to 1256 of the family's 1831-position model. The record is from RNAcentral.